AUGUAUUGGUUGGUUCAAGAGUUAAUAACGGAAACAGUGGCAUAUACAUCAUAUUUUUGUUUCCUGUUAAUGCACAAUUCAACUAUUUACGUUACAACAUGGCAAUGGCUGAGGCGACAUCGGUUCUGCCUUCUUGGCUUGGGGAUGUCACGGGCAGCGCACGUCUCGUCCUCCUUGAUGGUGGUGAUGGAUCGACAUGAACACGAGGGGAGGGGAUCAGGCAACAGCAGGUUGGUUGGUGGGACUCCUCUUUGGCUGUCCGCGGGGAAGUAUGAUGGAAGGGAGAGAGGGCGUCAUGGCGAAGGUGAGGUGGACAUCAUCCGUUUUGAAAGGAGGGGGCUCCAGUGA
RNAcentral lists this ribosomal RNA (348 nucleotides) under Triticum aestivum (bread wheat). RNAcentral describes it as "partial small subunit ribosomal RNA". Lineage: Eukaryota; Viridiplantae; Streptophyta; Magnoliopsida; Poales; Poaceae. The record is from RNAcentral.